GCGCCUUGCGCGCACCGGCGGACGGCUCAGUAACACGUCGGUAACCUACCCUCGGGAGGGGGAUAACCCCGGGAAACUGGGGCUAAUCCCCCAUAGGCCUGAGGUACUGGAAGGUCCUCAGGCCGAAAGGGGCUCUGCCCGCCCGAGGAUGGGCCGGCGGCCGAUUAGGUAGUUGGUGGGGUAACGGCCCACCAAGCCGAAGAUCGGUACGGGCCAUGAGAGUGGGAGCCCGGAGAUGGACACUGAGACACGGGUCCAGGCCCUACGGGGCGCAGCAGGCGCGAAACCUCCGCAAUGCGGGCAACCGCGACGGGGGGACCCCCAGUGCCGUGGCAUCGCCACGGCUUUUCCGGAGUGUAAAAAGCUCCGGGAAUAAGGGCUGGGCAAGGCCGGUGGCAGCCGCCGCGGUAAUACCGGCGGCCCGAGUGGUGGCCGCUAUUAUUGGGCCUAAA
Molecule: ribosomal RNA, 452 nt
Filed under: Thermococcus sp. ES13
Lineage: Archaea; Methanobacteriati; Methanobacteriota; Thermococci; Thermococcales; Thermococcaceae
Description: bacterial SSU rRNA
Rfam family: Archaeal small subunit ribosomal RNA
Source: RNAcentral